GAGAACCUAAUCAGUCGCUCAGCCAAAGAUGAAACUUUGAUUGCUCAGGUGUUUGAAGUGGCACCCUCGCUUUUCAUGGUUGAGAUGAGGAAAGCGGGAGGAGACACACUAGAAUACACAGCGGUAAUGAUGCUAGAAGUGGUGUUUCUUCAUUGGAACUCACAUUGUAUUGCUCGUUUGGUCAGUUCCACAAGGAUUUGUACGUCGGGUUGGAAGAUAUUGUUUGGAAGAACGAGCUGGAAGUGGAAAGAGGAGAAAGAUAAAACUAGGACGCGAACGGUCACGAUUUCCCAUCCUAUAUUCAACGAGGAAGAAAAACAAUCACUCACCUGGAAGAUCGAGAGCUGGCGGCGCGCCA
Molecule: long non-coding RNA, 358 nt
Filed under: Selaginella moellendorffii
Lineage: Eukaryota; Viridiplantae; Streptophyta; Lycopodiopsida; Selaginellales; Selaginellaceae
Description: long non-coding RNA (SMOE_LNC000560)
Source: RNAcentral